AAUGUCAAAAUCUUUUAUUUACAACAGUCUCCAAAAAUCAAGAAACACUGAAAAUAGUGAGGGCAGGAGACGACUUACAAAAGUAACACAUGUACAUUGGGAAUUGUGCUACAUCACUCUGAGAACUGACACUCUAAGGUCUGCACACAACGUGGUGAAACAACAGUGCCCUCCCUCUGUCCUUGGGGUGCUCACACCUCUUCUCCCCUUGGCUUUUGGACCAUUCUCCCUCCUGUUUGUUCUCUUCUGCUUCCCCUUGCAAACCUUUCUGCUGAUGAGCUUGUCGCUCUGCCUCUGGUCCUGGCCAUUACCUCCAUCCCCUCCAGCAACCGCCCAAAGGAGGAGAAGGAAGCCAAACAGCUGAACAACAGUGUCCUCAGGAUGGAGACAGGCCUUGAAAGACCUUUAACUCCAGGCCCCUGAGUACUAAGUGGUUAGCAGCAGCCUCUGAAAAACCUGUGAACUAUGGCUUGUGUGCUGUCUGGGGUGAGGGGUGAUUUUGGAAGUAACUGAGAAGCUGAAUUUGUUCUGCCUGGCUGCAAAUCACUCAGCACAGCUUACUUGGUGGACAGUGUGGGAGGACUGAUACAUGCCACAGGGUUAAAUAAAAUGCCUUUUAUCAUCUUCCAGAAGAGCAGGCUGCUCUGGUAAGAAAAUUCAGUGCAGGACAAGCUAAAAGAAUUAGAUGCAAUAGAGCAACAUCCCAGUUUGCUCCAGCAGAGACAAAGCCAGGAGCCUCCGGAGACCACUGCAUCCAGACGACUGUAGCAGUGGUACAGUAACUCUGUAAGCAUGCCAUAUGUCCUUCUCCUUGGGGAGAUUUCUCAGGCUGCCUUUGCUCUGGCAUAGUUGCAGAUCCAGCAGGGACUGAGAAACACAGCCCAGCUCAGCCACUGAUCCCCUUUUGGUAUCUGCAGCCUUUGGAAUUGCUGAGGUCAGUGGCCAAACCUGAUGCCCCAGUUGCCUUACAGACCCCAUGUGAAUCCAGCACCUCAGGAGGCCCCACAACAUAAGGAAAUAGAGUGAGGAGACCUGAGUCUAUUCCUUUCUCUGACACCGAUUUUUCAAGUCAUGGAAUCAUGGAAUGGUUUGGGUUGGAAAGGACCUUAAGAUCAUCCAGUUCCAACCCCCUGCCACAGGCAGUGACACUUCGCACUAGACCAGGUUGCUCCAAGCCCCGUCCAACCUGAUCUUGAACACUGCCAGCUGGCAUGGCUGUUGUGAGCAGAGACUCUCCCCCUGAGUGUCCACAGCCAUGAGGAGCCUUGAACUCACUCAGCAGCUCCACUGAAGGCAAAGAGCAGCAACACCACCUCUGCGCACGUAUCGCAGUGCUUCAGCACUGGGCAGCAGUGCCCUUCUGUGACUGCCCUGGGCUGGCAGAGAGAAAGCUUCUGGUCAGGACAGGACCUGCUCCGUUUUCUAGGAGACUGCAGAGUUUCAGAAUGACUCCCAUCCUGAAACACUAACAUCAACUUUUCAGAAUGUAACCCUCAAAACAGGAUUUAAUAGAAAUAAAGGAGUGGGCAGUUAACAGAAAUACUCCCUUGCAGUGUGCUGUAACUGAGAACUUGGGUACCUCUCUUUUUAAUUGCAGCAAGAUUGUUUUGCAGGAAAAAUCAGAGCAUUCUCUUCUAAGUAAGGCUGGUCUGCUGUGCUCUGUUGUUUAAAACCAUCAAAACUGACAGCUUCAUAUGAAGCAUUUUAACUCCCUACCUUCCUCUGCCUGAGAAAUUCUCCCUGCGACUAUCUCCAGCUACUUUAGUCCAGACUCUGUGAGCACAUUAGGCAUGAAUAGCUACCACAGAGAAGGCUAAUCCUUGCUCAGCAAAACAACAGGACCCAAGAGAUGGUCUGGGAAACAGAGGAGUCAUCACAGAAAGAACAUAGGCAGAGGUGUGGGAUGAAUUAAUUUAGGGCAUGCAUCUGCUCCCAGAACAGUGCCAGACAGGUAAGGCCUUGUGUUUUAUUGCUACGAGCAUCUGCCUCGGGGCACCAAUUCCCAGCAGGGCUGUCAGCCCCACCUUCACAUUUGCUCAAAUAAACCCAUCCGUUUUCUUACCUCUAUAAUUUUAUGAGUGUUUUCUCGUCCCAAGGAUGAUGCUGCCUACAUGGAGAUAGAUGUACACACCUGCUACUGAUUUAUUGUCUCCACAGAUGCUUGGUGACAUCAGGGUGCUGUAUGCAUUUUGGCAAAGGCUGGGCCGCACCUUUAAGCCUCUUUCACUCC
RNAcentral lists this long non-coding RNA (2230 nucleotides) under Strigops habroptila (Kakapo). RNAcentral describes it as "lncRNA (ENSSHBG00005007981.1)". Lineage: Eukaryota; Metazoa; Chordata; Aves; Psittaciformes; Psittacidae. The record is from RNAcentral.